GAGAGAAGCAGCAUAGCCCAGUGGUUAAGUGUGCAAGCUCGGAAGUGACACAGCUGGGUUCCAAUCCUAAAUUCUGCCUCUUGCCAGCUCUGCAUAAACUGGUGGCAAAUUACUUCACUUCUGCAAGCCUCCUGUGCCAUGCCUACAAAUACAGGAUAAGGAGACAUUUAUGGAGGUGACUUGCCCAAGGUUUUCCAAGCUGGAUACACACCUGUUCAGGUUUACAUUUCAUGCUGUAAAAGGCUCACACUGGCUCCAUGUGGAUUGGAGUAGGGCAGGGAAAGGAGGCUGCAGUAACUCCUCACGAGAUGGUGACACCGAGAGUUUUAUCAGUGGGGGUGGAGAGAAAGGAACGGAGCAGAGACACAUUCUGGAAGCAGAACAGACGGCACUUAAGAGACACUGGAUCUUAGAGGUCUUGGAUCUGCCAAGAACAUAUUUAUACUCGAUUCCUAAUUGGCUCUGGAAAUGGGGGCCUUGUGGUGGAGUACAUUUAGAAAGCACUGUUCUCAAGAAGUGGAGUCUUCACAGACAAUACAAUCUAUUGACUGAAGUGCAGCAGGAGGGUCAUUGGAUUUGGGGAAAUACCUUAAAGAAUUGACUCAGGAGACCCGUGUCCUCGGCUUGGUCUGACCACGUGUCAGCUGUGUGACCUCGGGCAGGUGCUCAGCUUUCUGUUCUUCAUAUGUAAAAAUGGAAGAUGGUAAUCCCUACCUCAUUCGAGUCUUUGUGGAAAUUGGACGAGGUGGUGUGUCUAAGGUCUGGAAAGCGUUAUGCACAUUUUACAAAAUCCAUCACUUCUCACCACCUCCACGGAUACCACCCUAGCCCACACCCCCAUCGUGGAUCACCCCCAUUGCUGCAGUGGCCUCCUGACUCUCUCUCUCUCUGUUUCUGCCCCUGCCCCCUCACAGUCUAUUCUUAACACAGCCAGAGUGAUGUUACAAAAAUAUGUCACACCAUGUCACUUCUCUGCUCAAAACCCUCCUACAACUUCACAUCCCACUCACGGUGAAAUCCAGGGUCCGCAGGGUGCCACUCCCCACUUUCCUGUCUGAUUUCAUCACCUAUUCUCACCCUCCACUCAAUCUACUUCAGCCACACAGCCUUCCUGAUAUUCCUGGAACUCACCAGGCAGAAUCCCACCCCGGGGUCUUUGCACUUGCUGCUUCCUCUGGCUGGAAAGCCCUUCUGUCAGAUAGCCACAUGCUUCCCCCUUCAUCCCUGUCCUGUCUUUAUUCAAAUGCCUCCUUCUCAGGAAGGCUCUACCUAAUAAUCACCUUAACACAGAAUGCUCCUCCCCACUCCCCCCUGGCCCACAUUUUCUGCAUGUCUCUUCAUGCUUUAAUUCACAGUAUCUUACAUUUUCUUCUGUGUAUUGUCUGUAUUCACCCAGUGGAAAAUAAGGUGAGUGAGUGUGGAGAUUUGGAUGGGGGGUGUCCUGUUUUGUUCAGUAGGGUAUUUUUCAUGCCCAGAAUAAGGCCUGGCACAUAGAGAUAGAUAUUUAUUUAGUAGGGUAUUCGUCGUGCCCAGAAUAAGGCCUGGCACAUAAAGAUAGAUAUUUAUUUAGAUAGUUAUUGCCCAAUAGACACUUCCUCUGAGAAGAAUGGACAGACGAGGAAACGGAAAGACAUAAUAUUAAAAUAAUUUACCCCAAACUGCAGAUCUAGUGUGUGGCAGAGCAGAAUUAGAAGCCCGGCAGUUUAACAUGAGAGAAGACUGUGUUAUCACCUAGAUUCCUUCAUUUCCUCAUGUCUUGACUGUUUUCCUCCCAAAUCAAGUGAGAAGCAAAAGAAAUGUAUGCACCCAUCUUAGUCCAUUUGGGCUGCUUACAAACAACAGAAAUUUAUUUCUGGCUAUUCUGGAGGCCGGGAAGUGAAAAUUGGACUUAAGAUUAAGGCGCCUGGCAGAUUCAGUGUCUGGUGAGAGCUCACUUCCUGGUUCAAAGAUGGCCAUCUUCUCCCUGUGUCCUCAUGUGGGCAAGGGAGCUCUACAGGGUCCCUUUUAUAAGGGCACUAACACCAUUCAUGAGGGCUCCACCCUCAUGAGCUCAUCACCACCCAAAAGGCACCACCUCUUAAUAUCACACUGGAAGUUAGGCUUCAACAUUUGAAUGUUGAGGGCAGACAAACAUUCAGCCUACAGCUGCACCUUCCCCUCAGAAAGUGAAACUCCUGUCCAGACGUAUCCAGGGAUCCAAUGAGGCUGUGUGAGGGGGUACUGUAUACAGACACCUUUGGUGCCCAGACCAGCACCCCCUUGGCUGACCUGAUUUCAGAUGUGGACAGCUGUGUACAUGCUCCAGAUGUCUCACCUCAGGUACAAACUA
Physeter macrocephalus (sperm whale) is the source of this 2329-nucleotide long non-coding RNA. RefSeq lists it as uncharacterized. The record is from RefSeq and is a predicted model, not a curated record. The transcript is spliced from 4 exons. NCBI's taxonomy places the organism in Eukaryota, Metazoa, Chordata, Mammalia, Artiodactyla, Physeteridae.